This is a long non-coding RNA of Micropterus salmoides (largemouth bass), 960 nucleotides long. RefSeq lists it as uncharacterized. The record is from RefSeq and is a predicted model, not a curated record. NCBI's taxonomy places the organism in Eukaryota, Metazoa, Chordata, Actinopteri, Centrarchiformes, Centrarchidae. The transcript has 3 exons.
CAUGUCCAACAUAGACCUGGUCAUGGAGUCUGACAUGGGGACAUUUACCCCUUGGCUCUGCAGUUUAGUGGCAGCGAUGCAGCACGAAAGGUGAUGGAAGAAGUGGUCAAACUGUUGGCUCCCAUUAAUACGACCAAACUGGAGACACACGGAGAAGGGACAGAUAUCUCACCGUGGAUGCAGGCAGGCAUACCAGGUGCUAGCCUCCACGUUGCAGACAGUCGGUACUUUUGGUUCCACCACAGUGAAGGUGAUACCAUGACUGUUCAGGACCCUCACGACAUGGACCUGUGCUCAGCAUUGUGGGCCGUGGUUGCUUAUGUCGUGGCAGACCUUCAGGACAUGCUGCCUAGGUAGCAAUGUGAAUGGGAUGACAGGAUGUUCACUGUAAACCACAGCUGGAUCAGUUAAUUCCUAAACACAUGGUCAAAUACAAAUUUCUUUUUUUUUUUUAACUUGCGAUGGAACAGAUUGAGUUAAGAAAUUUUUGUUAAUAAAUUCAAUGUGAAUUGUCCUUGGAUACACAAGUGAGUAGAGGGAGGAUAAAAAAAAAACACUAUUGACCACUAGCAGUUGCAUAUCAUCAUCACAAAUGUUUUAGCUAAAUAACAGUAAACUGACACAUGAACAGAUGUUACAGUCAAAUUGAAGCGUUAGUAAUCAGUUUGUUUUUAAAUGAACACCCAAUAGAUUUACAUGCGGUUGUAGCUCAGGGCAGUGGCAUGAUCAUCUUAAAGUUUGAAGUAACAUAAUAAAGGCUUUUAUGAUCAUGAUACAUAAUGACUUAAGAUUUUUUUAGAAGAGAAGAACCUAUUAUGUGUAGAAUGACUGAUUGAAUGAAUGAUUUUUUUUUCCCAAGUAAAAAGCUGAUUUUCAAAUUACUGAUAAGACCAAGAAAAUUAGUGGACAUUCUCUAGUGCUGUUGUUGUCUUAAUGCCUUAAUAUAAUGUGCUGCAAAAA